AGUGUAAAGCAGUACGCUUGUUGAAUGCGCUAACAGUUAUAUUCGGGUCACAGAUACAUAACAAGAGAAGAGGAGUUUUUUUACCUAACAGUUGCAUUCCUGUGCAUACCAGCUUUCAUUAUCAUGUGUAUGGAUGUCUCCUGGUACUACAUAGAUACAUCAUGGUGCGAUCAAUCUGGGUUCCGUUGGUAGAUGAGAGUGAUGCUCAGUGUAAUAUCUUUGGGAACACUAGGUGUUGUUUGUCGGACUUUCCAAUACAUCAUAUUCGGGAUAAAACCAGAACUGGCUUCAACAAGCACAACAGAAAUCCAUCUAGAAGUCCUCCGUUUACAUCGGGAUUGUUGCAUGUUCAGUAUGACGGAGGCAUUCCUUGAAUCUGCUCCUCAGUUGGCACUGAAAUUGUAUAUCGCACAUUAUCAACCAUUCUCCUAUUCAAGACGUAGGUGUCAUUCACUCAUAUCAUUUUAAUAUGAAUGCGCAUUUGAUUUAUAUUUUAACGUUAAUAGAUCCCCUUUUAUGCAUGUAUUUGAUUUUUAUAAUAAUUAAAAAAACUGAUUUAGAAUUUUCUAAAAAUAAUUAAAAAACGGACAAAGAAAUAUAGCAGAGUGGAAAGAGAAUAAACGUAUCCAGUGAAGAA
Long non-coding RNA from Dreissena polymorpha, 637 nucleotides. RefSeq lists it as uncharacterized. The record is from RefSeq and is a predicted model, not a curated record. The transcript has 3 exons. Lineage: Eukaryota; Metazoa; Mollusca; Bivalvia; Myida; Dreissenidae.